GACGAACCGUGCAAACGUUGUUCGGAAUUACUGGGCGGAAAGCGUGCGCAGGCGGUUUUGUAAGCCAGAUGUGAAAUCCCCGGGCUUAACCUGGGAAUGGCAUUUGGGACUGCAAGGCUUGAGUGCGGCAGAGGAGACUGGAAUUCCUGGUGUAGCAGUGAAAUGCGUAGAUAUCAGGAGGAACACCGAUGGCGAAGGCAGGUCUCUGGGCUGACACUGACGCUCAUGCACGAAAGCGUGGGGAGCAAACAGG
RNAcentral lists this ribosomal RNA (253 nucleotides) under uncultured bacterium. Its description in RNAcentral is "partial 16S ribosomal RNA". It matches the Rfam family "Bacterial small subunit ribosomal RNA", at positions 524 to 776 of the family's 1533-position model. The record is from RNAcentral.